AGCAGUAUGGUGUAAUGCUGCACAUGGGAUUCCACUAAGAAAGAUCACCAGAAGCUUAAUCCCGAGGUCCUUGAUCGAAUCAAGGUACUGCUC
This is a non-coding RNA of Mycena metata, 93 nucleotides long. The record is from the annotation of a GenBank genome assembly. Lineage: Eukaryota; Fungi; Basidiomycota; Agaricomycetes; Agaricales; Mycenaceae.